RNAcentral lists this long non-coding RNA (931 nucleotides) under Selaginella moellendorffii. Its description in RNAcentral is "long non-coding RNA (SMOE_LNC000704)". Lineage: Eukaryota; Viridiplantae; Streptophyta; Lycopodiopsida; Selaginellales; Selaginellaceae. The record is from RNAcentral.
CCAGAUUAAAGUAAAGCAAAAAUUGUCAAGAAUAAUUUUUUAUAGUUAUUAGAUUAUAAAUAUAUUUAGUACUCUCCCAAAAAAAAAGUAAAUCCUAGUGAAUAAUCAUGCUGAUGUUUGCUCUUAACCAAUGGGAGGCAGCCAAGCUAUGUGGGGUUAGAGAAGAAGGCACUGUGACAUGUGGCAUAUGCAAAGUGUUGAUUGGACUGCUUCUUUCCUGAAAUUGCUAUCAUCAUCCAAACUUGCAUCUCCACAGAUUUUUCUUGAGAUCUUUUAAAUUUUCCUGCAGAAAUCGCCUCCAUCGCUCCCGAUGUGGAGCACUGCUGCUUUAGGGAAAGGGCAAGAGAGCGAUGCACUUGAGUAAAUGGCCAGUGAAGCUCCGACUCCUGGAUCUCCCAGGCAAAGAUCUUCCCAGAGAUCUCUCGCUCAACUGCCACAGCAAUCCCCAUAGGAAUAGGUGCCAGCACCAGAUCUGGAGCUUGAUGGGAUGCCUUUCUACAAUCUCGCCACUGUCACUUCCGGCAUGGAGGAUCUCCACCGUUGCUUUAGGGAAAGGGCGUAGCCCUAGAGGAAAGCAAGUAAAUGGCUAGUGAAGCUGUGGCUCCCAAUCCCCACAGGAACAAGAGCCAGUAGUAGAUCUGGAGCUGCAGGCUCUAGAUCCACAACAGGAUGCAAGCACUCCUCCUAAGCCCCUGGUGGCAGUGGCAGUGGCGGCUUUGCCAGCGACAAUAGAGGUGAGUGUGGCUGCUGGAGAGGAGCCAGAAAAUGCCAUUUAGCCUUUCAUACAUUUUUCUUCUUUAUGUACCUCACCAAUUGAUAAGGUAAUUCUUUUGUAAUGAUGUAGGUUGAUGGUUAGCUUAGUCUUAAUACAAUCACAUUAAACACCUUUAUAAAUCUUUUAACUAACAUAGUUUAUUAGGUUUUGAAUCUA